UAACGCGUGGGUAACCUGCCUCAUACAGGGGGAUAACAGUUAGAAAUGACUGCUAAUACCGCAUAAGCGCACAGUGCUGCAUGGCACAGUGUGAAAAACUCCGGUGGUAUGAGAUGGACCCGCGUCUGAUUAGCUAGUUGGUGGAGUAACGGCCUACCAAGGCGACGAUCAGUAGCCGGCCUGAGAGGGUGAACGGCCACAUUGGGACUGAGACACGGCCCAA
RNAcentral lists this ribosomal RNA (223 nucleotides) under uncultured bacterium. RNAcentral's name for it is "partial 16S ribosomal RNA". It matches the Rfam family "Bacterial small subunit ribosomal RNA", at positions 111 to 334 of the family's 1533-position model. The record is from RNAcentral.